RNAcentral lists this ribosomal RNA (484 nucleotides) under uncultured bacterium. RNAcentral's name for it is "partial 16S ribosomal RNA". It matches the Rfam family "Bacterial small subunit ribosomal RNA", at positions 30 to 507 of the family's 1533-position model. The record is from RNAcentral.
AUUGAACGCUGGCGGCAGGCCUAACACAUGCAAGUCGAGCGGAUGAAGGGAGCUUGCUCCUGGAUUCAGCGGCGGACGGGUGAGUAAUGCCUAGGAAUCUGCCUGGUAGUGGGGGAUAACGUCCGGAAACGGGCGCUAAUACCGCAUACGUCCUGAGGGAGAAAGUGGGGGAUCUUCGGACCUCACGCUAUCAGAUGAGCCUAGGUCGGAUUAGCUAGUUGGUGGGGUAAAGGCCUACCAAGGCGACGAUCCGUAACUGGUCUGAGAGGAUGAUCAGUCACACUGGAACUGAGACACGGUCCAGACUCCUACGGGAGGCAGCAGUGGGGAAUAUUGGCCCAUGGGCGCCAGCCUGCUCCCGCCCUGCCGCGUGUGUGAAGAAGGUCUUCGGAUUGUAAAGCACUUUAAGUUGGGAGGAAGGGCAGUAAGUUAAUACCUUGCUGUUUUGACGUUACCAACAGAAUAAGCACCGGCUAACUUCGUG